This 466-nucleotide ribosomal RNA is filed under the name uncultured bacterium. Its description in RNAcentral is "partial 16S ribosomal RNA". It matches the Rfam family "Bacterial small subunit ribosomal RNA", at positions 28 to 507 of the family's 1533-position model. The record is from RNAcentral.
GAUGAACGCUGGCGGCGUGCUUAACACAUGCAAGUCGAACGGAAAGGCCCAAGCUUGCUUGGGUGCUCGAGUGGCGAACGGGUGAGUAACACGUGGGUGAUCUGCCCUGCACUUUGGGAUCAGCCUGGGAAACUGGGUCUAAUACCGGAUAGGACCAUCGCUUAGUGUCGGUGGUGGAAAGUUUUUCGGUGUGGGUUGAGCUCGCGGCCUAUCAGCUUGUUGGUGGGGUAAUGGCCUACCAAGGCGUCGCCGGGUAGCCGGCCUGGGAGGGUGUACGGCCACAUUGGGACGGAGAUACGGCCCAGACUCCUACGGGAGGCAGCAGUGGGGAGUAUUGCACAGUGGGCGCAAGCCUGAUGCAGCGACGCCGCGUGGGGGAUGACGGGCUUCGGUUUGUAAACUCCUUUCGCCAAGGACGAAGCGUUUUGUGACGGUACUGGGAGAAGAAGCACCGGCUAACUACGUG